AUUGAACGCUGGCGGCAUGCCUUACACAUGCAAGUCGAACGGUAACAGGUUAAGCUGCCGCGUGGCGAACGGGUGAGUAAUGUAUCGGAACGUGCCCAGUCGUGGGGGAUAACUGCUCGAAAGAGCAGCUAAUACCGCAUACGACCUGAGGGUGAAAGCGGGGGAUCGCAAGACCUCGCGCGAUUGGAGCGGCCGAUAUCAGAUUAGGUAGUUGGUGAGGUAAAGGCUCACCAAGCCGACGAUCUGUAGCUGGUCUGAGAGGACGACCAGCCACACUGGGACUGAGACACGGCCCAGACUCCUACGGGAGGCAGCAGUGGGGAAUUUUGGACAAUGGGCGCAAGCCUGAUCCAGCCAUGCCGCGUGCGGGAAGAAGGCCUUCGGGUUGUAAAACGCUUUUGUCAGGGAAGAAAAGGUUCUGGCUAAUACCUGGGACUCAUGACGGUACCUGAAGAAUAAGCACCGGCUAACUACGUG
RNAcentral lists this ribosomal RNA (477 nucleotides) under uncultured bacterium. Its description in RNAcentral is "partial 16S ribosomal RNA". It matches the Rfam family "Bacterial small subunit ribosomal RNA", at positions 30 to 507 of the family's 1533-position model. The record is from RNAcentral.